Molecule: transfer RNA, 82 nt
Filed under: Echinostoma caproni
Lineage: Eukaryota; Metazoa; Platyhelminthes; Trematoda; Plagiorchiida; Echinostomatidae
Rfam family: tRNA
About the family: Transfer RNA (tRNA) molecules are approximately 80 nucleotides in length. Their secondary structure includes four short double-helical elements and three loops (D, anti-codon, and T loops). Further hydrogen bonds mediate the characteristic L-shaped molecular structure. tRNAs have two regions of fundamental functional importance: the anti-codon, which is responsible for specific mRNA codon recognition, and the 3' end, to which the tRNAs corresponding amino acid is attached (by aminoacyl-tRNA synthetases). tRNAs cope with the degeneracy of the genetic code in two manners: having more than one tRNA (with a specific anti-codon) for a particular amino acid; and 'wobble' base-pairing, i.e. permitting non-standard base-pairing at the 3rd anti-codon position.
Source: Rfam by way of RNAcentral
GGCCUCCUAGCUCAGCUGGUAGAGCAUACGCGUACAAAGCGUAGGUGGCGUCCAUGCGUUGGUUGGAAUCCCAUCGAGGUUA